UGAUGAAAGCUAGUGUGGCAAGAAGACCAUAACUGUGGAUAUGACCAGUCAUUUGUACCAGUUCCUUGUCAGAAAGCUCAAAUACUGGACUGUCCGGUUCAAAACCAGACACCUGACAAACCUAUCCAGAGCUUAGAUACAAGGACAAUUGAGCUCACUAGUACGGUGGAGGGAGAAUAUGAAAUGCAGGGGAACCUGAUUCUUCAUGGCCUUCCAUCUUGCAUUGGAACCCAAACAAAGAGGGUGCAAGGAUGCUACUGCUGUUAGGUGCACCAGCCACAGGCCAAGCAAAGGCAAUGAGUGCAUUGAUGGAAAAGGCCACUUGACCCAAGACUCACAACUCAAAGUUACAGAGAAGCAUGAGGAAUUAGUGGGGAACCUGAGGGAAGAGCAUGAACAAUGUUUUGCAGAGAUCUGAAUUGAAGAGGACUCCAAGAAGAGCCACGAAAAUGAUGAAAGGAUUAGAAAUCAGGCCGUAUGGUGAUGGACUCGAGGAGCUCAAUUGAUUUAGCUUAACAAAGAGAAGAUUAAGGGAUGACUUGAUUGCAGCCUAUAAGCAUCUACCCAGAGAAUAAGUAUUUAAUAAUGGACUCGUCAGUCUAGCAGAGACAGGUAUAACAUGAUGAAUGGCUGAAAGUUGCACGAUGCAUUUCAGACUGGACAUGAGAGAAACUGACCACUGGAACAAUUUAUCCAGAGUCAUAGUGAAGUCUCUGUUGCUGACAAUUUAUAAAAUAUAUGGUGUAGGAAUAAUUUUGGAAGAAGUUCUAUGGCUUGUGUUGUACAUGAGGACAGAGUAGAUGAUCACAGUGGUCCCUUUUUGGCCUUUGAAUCUAUAUAUCUAGGAAACAAUAUGUUUUCCACCAGUGAAACUCUGCACUGUUACAUCAUUUCAACCCUAUAGAUUUCAGUGGGGUAGAACCAGAAUAGCUGAGUGGCUAAAGGGCACUCUCAUGUCCUGUACACUGUCAUUCCAAUAGUAAAAACCUAGAGCUGGAAAGAAAGGGUUGGCUAGUGGUUACAGUAAGGAGACUGGUGCAAUGACUUCUAUGUUCUUGCUGUGUGGUCUCUUGGGCAACUCAAUAUCUCUGUGUAGCUAUUUGUAAAAUUGGUAUAAAUAGUAGUACCACACCUAGUAGUCAAGAAACAAGGAAUAAUUCAUUCAUAAUUGCAAAAUACUUUGAGAUAUUUGAAAGGAAGGUGUGAGGUAAGGAAUUAAUCAAGCUAAUUAACUUGAGGGAACUAGGACUUGCUCUGGAAUCUGAGACUAGAGCAAAAUCCAAAGGCAAAAUGUCUGGUUCCUAUCACAAUGCUCCAUUUGUCUGCACAGUCACUGCACUAUUGGGAUCCAUUUCAUGCUUACGCAAUGAGGCAAAAUAGCUCUGAAAUGGAAGGCACGUGCUAUACAUGUAGGUCUUGUGCUGCCCCUGAACAAAGGUGAAUGGCAUCUCAAGGGUCUGGGAAAUGUUUUGAGAUACUGUCUGGCAGAACACAUGGGCUGUGUCUAGACUGGCAAGUUU
Long non-coding RNA from Pelodiscus sinensis (Chinese soft-shelled turtle), 1520 nucleotides. RefSeq lists it as uncharacterized. Lineage: Eukaryota; Metazoa; Chordata; Testudines; Trionychidae. The record is from RefSeq and is a predicted model, not a curated record.